This 494-nucleotide ribosomal RNA is filed under the name uncultured bacterium. RNAcentral describes it as "partial 16S ribosomal RNA". It matches the Rfam family "Bacterial small subunit ribosomal RNA", at positions 28 to 507 of the family's 1533-position model. The record is from RNAcentral.
GACGAACGCUGGCGGCGUGCUUAACACAUGCAAGUCGAACGGAAAGGCCUGCUUUCCCUUGUGGAUUGCGGGUACUCGAGUGGCGAACGGGUGAGUAACACGUGAGUGAUCUGCCCCCAACUUGGGUAUAAGCCUGGGAAACUGGGUCUAAUUCCCGAUAGGACUGCAGGGUGGUGCCUGUGGUGGAAAACGAUUUUCUAGUGGUUGGGGAUGAGCUCGCGGCCUAUCAGCUUGUUGGUGGGGUAAUGGCCUACCAAGGCGGCGACGGGUAGCCGGCCUGGGAGGGUGGACGGGCACAUUGGGACUGGGAUACGGCCCAGACUUCUACGGGAGGCAGCAGUGGGGAAUAUUGCACAAUGGGCGGAAGCCUGAUGCAGCGACGCCGCGUGGGGGAUGACGGCCUUCGGGUUGUAAACUCCUUUCGACCGCGAGGAAGCCACCUGGUUGGAAGGGUGGUGACGGUAGUGGUAGAAGAAGCACCGGCUAACUACGUG